GAUGAAGAACGUAGCGAAAUGCGAUAAGUAGUGUGAAUUGCAGAAUUCAGUGAAUCAUCGAGUCUUUGAACGCACAUUGCGCCCCCUGGUAUUCCGGGGGGCAUGCCUGUCCGAGCGUCAUUGCUGCCCUCAAGCCCGGCUUGUGUGUUGGGUCGCCGUCCCCCUCUCCGGGGGGACGGGCCCGAAAGGCAGCGGCGGCACCGCGUCCGAUCCUCGAGCGUAUGGGGCUUUGUCACAUGCUCUGUAGGAUUGGCCGGCGCCUGCCGACGUUUUCCAACCAUUCUUUCCAGGUUGACCUCGGAUCAGGUAGGGAUACCCGCUGAACUUAAGCAUAUCAAUAAGCGGAGGA
This 349-nucleotide unclassified non-coding RNA is filed under the name soil metagenome. RNAcentral describes it as "partial contains 5.8S ribosomal RNA, internal transcribed spacer 2, and large subunit ribosomal RNA". The stretch from base 1 to 120 matches the Rfam family "5.8S ribosomal RNA", at positions 35 to 154 of the family's 154-position model. The record is from RNAcentral.